GGGAGCUGCCAGGAAAUCAGAAGACUGUCCAGUUGGAGUGGUGUGGCGUGUGUGCCAGGCUGGGUUCCCACCCUGCCGUGUCCUCUUUCCAGGACCUGCUGUGUGGCUAAGCUGGGACACUCAGCAACGUGACCCAAAGAAGGACUGACGGGACUCUUCUGCUGAGCACAUGGCACUCACAGGAGAGCCAGGCUGGCAUCAGCUCUGUGUUCAGUGACAUCAGCCUGGUGGCUUGAAAUGGCCAUGGUGGGAAUAUUUACACCAUGGCAACUGGCAUUUGCUACAAAUCAGGACACCUUUCUUUCCACAGAGCUGAUGGCUAAGCAUUUAUCAACACAUCACUGCCAGUAGCCUGGUAUUUGCGUUCCAAAGAGGAGUUGAAAAUAGCCCUUCUACACAGUUCUCCAGGAAAACUGGCUGGAACUCAAUUUGUGGAACAGUCCUCUCUGUGGGAAGCUGAGCCAGGGCAUGACUCAUCCCAUGCAUCCAGGUCUGUCUGGCGAGAUGCAGCCGGGGACACCACCUCUGCGACCCUCCACAGGCCACAGGAAACCUGGACAACAGCCUCUGCCAACCUGUGAAGUGCCUGUUUCCUCAAAGCUCCGCGCUCCGGGGCAGCGGUCCACCUUCCAUCCCUGGAGAGCCAAAUGCCUUCACAGAAGAAUGUCUCCCUAUAUGGCUGUGGUUUUUCUACACUCAGGCAGGUUCCCAAAUUAGGUGCUGGGGCAGCAACUCUCUUUUAUUCACCAAGGGAAGGGCGUCUCCAGAAAGGGCGAAAAUAUCCUGGGAUGGAACCGGGAAAAGGGAAAACGGUGUUGGUGAGACCUCUGGGGCUAGUCAUUAGGGCGGUGACAUGAUGUCUACUGCUGUGGACCCGAAGCCCCUUAAUCAGAUCGGCGGGCGGGCCUGGAGGGCCAUGACGUGUGCCAGAAGAGUGGCUUGGCAUCGCUGCAGUGGUUUUGUUCUUCCACGAAGAGCUCCUAGAAUCAUUUCUUCU
This is a non-coding RNA of Manis javanica (Malayan pangolin), 997 nucleotides long. NCBI's taxonomy places the organism in Eukaryota, Metazoa, Chordata, Mammalia, Pholidota, Manidae. The record is from RefSeq and is a predicted model, not a curated record.